Molecule: long non-coding RNA, 1676 nt
Organism: Macadamia integrifolia
Lineage: Eukaryota; Viridiplantae; Streptophyta; Magnoliopsida; Proteales; Proteaceae
Exons: 2
Source: RefSeq, a predicted model, not a curated record
GAAUGCUUCGUUCUCGGCUGGGGCUGAACCUCCUGCUAGAUUUUGAACCCUAUCUCUUUCCAUUCUACCCUCUUUGUUCUCUCACCUGUAGAAGUAAACGAUCUACGCUUCUUGCAAAACAGAGAUGUGGUUUGUGCAAGUAAAUUAUUUAGGGUUUCUGUGGCUAUUGUAGGUGGUUUCUGGUCACGGCAAAACUUGAGGGGAAAUGGUCGUUAUUUUUGUUGAAUAUGAAUAUGCGGCGUAGUAUAGCAGAUCAAGAUCACUUCCAAUUUUCUACCUCUCUCUCUUAUUAACAAGUUCCAUAACCUGAGAAUGAAUAAGGAAUUAGUCUCACUGAGUUGGAGAAGAAGAUCUUCGGAGAAGAAGAUCCUCAGGGCUUUUCAGAUUGGCAGCUGCAACCCCCUUCAGCGACUACAGGUAUAUCUAAAAUUUAACCCUUUUCUUUAUCAUCCCCAUAUCGAUUGAUAUUUGAGAUGCUUCUGUCGACUCUCCUUGCUAUUCCAAUUAUUGGAAGAACGUGUAUAAGUUCGAGCGGAGAAAUGCAAGUAAUUGCCAGAUCUUUUAGUUAUAAGCGGAUAAGCGAUCUAGAGCCAACUUCGGAUGCAAAAUUGCUACAGAAUAUUUCAUCUUAGAGGAAAAAUGAAAUAUGAAUAUGCGAGGUCUUCCCAGUUGUGCUUGCAGCGUCUAAAUCCUCUGUAGCCUCUCUCAUCUUAUACACAAACAUCUAGCAAAGAUGGAUCGGCAGAAGCUUAUGAAGAUGGCCAGUGCAGUACGAAUCGGUGGUAAGGGUAGCAUGCGAAGAAAGAAGAAUCCUGUUCAUAAGACUACAACAGAUGACAAAAGGCUCCAGGGCACCCUGAAGAGAAUAAGGUAAAUGCCAUCCCUGCCAUUGAGGAAGUCAACAUAUUCAAGGAGGACAUCGUCAUCCCAUUUCUAAACCCCAAAGUUCAAGCAUCGAUUGCUGCCAACACUUGGGUUGUUAGAGGUUCUCCUCAAACAAAAAAGUUGCAGGAUCUUCUCCCUGGAAUCAUCAACCAAUUGGGUCCGGAUAACUUGGACAACCUGAGAAGGCUGGCAAAGCAGUUCCUGAAGCAAGCACCUGGUGCAGGUGCAAUCCAAGGGAGGAGGGUCAAGAGAUCUCUCGAACUCUGCUUUCCCAACUUCUCUAUACAAGAUCUCCCACCCAAUCUGUCGGUUAAAUGGAGCGAAGGACGACGAUUCUGAUAAGUCGACUCAGAUAAGGGUGUUUUACUCAUAAGGGCUAAAGUGUUAUUUCAUAGCAUCACUUAACAGAGAUUGACGGUAAGGGGUCUAAGUCUAAUUUGGUGAAAGAGAGGGGGUGUUCCUCUAAUAUUGGCAUUCUCCAGGGAGUGGCGAUGUAAAUUACCCAAAAAAAAUUUGUUGCUUUCAACUAAUUAAGGAUAUUAGAGUUUGAAACUCUGUUCAGGCUUAAGAAAUAGUGAGUAGCUCUACCUAGGCAUCAGUAGUUGCAUCUAUGAUGUGCCUUCUUUCUUGCUUUUUGGGGAAGUAUUGAUCCCUAUGAGCUGCUUAGCCUAAGAAGCAGGGUAUGUGGACUUCAGCUCAUAGAAGUCCAUUUGGCUGUACUUUUAUUGGCAUAAAUGUUUGUAGAACUGGCACAGAAAUACAGUAAAAUCAAAUAUAUUAAUUGGAGAUCA